RNAcentral lists this ribosomal RNA (1285 nucleotides) under Tanaella unguicillata. Its description in RNAcentral is "SSU rRNA". It matches the Rfam family "Eukaryotic small subunit ribosomal RNA", at positions 35 to 1295 of the family's 1831-position model. Lineage: Eukaryota; Metazoa; Arthropoda; Malacostraca; Tanaidacea; Tanaellidae. The record is from RNAcentral.
UUUCAAAGAUUAAGCCAUGCAUGUGUCAGUGCAAGCCUUUCCUAACGGUGAAACCGCGAACGGCUCAUUAAAUCAGUCAUAAUCCGUUGGACUAUAUGGAACCUUGUCCUUACUCGGAUAACUGUGGUAAUUCUAGAGCUAAUACAUGCCACGAGUUCCCAAAGUGUUUUUUUUAACAUUAGUAGGACGCAAUUAUUAGAUCCAAAAAUUUGAAUAAAACUUGGUGUAAAGUUUGGUGAUUCUGGAUAAUAGGAGCAGAGCGCUUAAUUUUCGCCGGCGCCAUACCUAUGAAGGGACUGCCCUAUCAGCUUGAUUGUAUAUUAAAUGUUUACAAUGGCUAUAACGGGUAACGGGGAAUCAGGGUUCGAUUCCGGAGAGGGAGCCUGAGAAACGGCUACCACAUCUAAGGAAGGCAGCAGGCACGCAAAUUGCUCAAUCUUAGCUCAAGGAAGCAGUGACAAAAUAUCUUGAUGCGGGACUCUUCCGAGGCCUCGCAAUCAGGAUGCGUUUACUUUAAAUAAGUAAGCUGAACGCAAUAAAAGCUCGUAGUUGGACUUUAUGCUCAGGCAACCAGUCCCCGUUCUUUUAAGGGUUAAAAUGAGUCUGCAAUUAAGUUUGUGUCCGUUCAUCCUUCUUUUUUCAUUUCUCUUUUUUUUUUUCCUUUCUGACCAUGAGGAAGUUUAUAAAAUUAGUUUCAAUCGUAUCACUUUGAAUAAAUUAGAGUGCUCAAAGCAAUUGCAUUAUAAUUGCCUGUAUGGUAGUGCAAGGAAUGAUGGAAGAUGAUCUUUGCCUCGUUAAAUUUAAAAAGGAUAUAUAUUUUAUUUUUGCCCCAAGUAAAGAUUCGAGGUUUGAGAUAAUGAUUAAAGGGAACUGCCGGGGGCGUUUGUAUUACGGCGCUAGAGGUGAAAUUCUUGGACCGUCGUAAGACAAACUAUUGCGAAGGCAUUCGCCAAGAAUGUUUUCAUUAAUCAAGAACGAAAGUUAGAGUUUAGAAGGAGAUCAGAUACCUCCCUAUUUCUAACCGUAAACAAUGCUAACCGGUUGUCCGUCGGAAGUCAAUUCCGAUGGACGAGCGACCCCAGGGAAACCAGAGUUUCUGAGCUCCUGGGGAAGUAUGGUUGCAAUAUUGAAACUUAAAGGAAUUGACGGAAGGGCACCACCAGGAGUGGAGCCUGCGGCUUAAUUUGACUCAACACGGGAAAACUCACCAGGCCCAGAAACAUUUAGGAUUGACAGAUUGAAAGCUCUUUCAUGAUUAUGAGGAUGGUGGUGCAUGGCCGUCUUA